AACGAACGCUGGCGGCGUGCCUAACACAUGCAAGUCGAGCGAGAAAGGGAGCAAUCCCCUGAGUACAGCGGCGCACGGGUGAGUAACACGUAGGUGAUCUCCCCUCGAGCCCGGAAGUAACCUACCGAAAGGUGGGCUAAUACCGGAUAUGACCACGGGAGUUUUGGCUCCUGCGGUGAAAGAUGGCCUCUACCUGUAAGCUAUCACUCAAGGAUUGAGCCUGCGUGCCAUUAGCUAGUUGGUGAGGUAACGGCUCACCAAGGCUAUGAUGGCUAGCUGGUCUGAGAGGAUGGCCAGCCACACUGGGACUG
This 311-nucleotide ribosomal RNA is filed under the name uncultured bacterium. Its description in RNAcentral is "bacterial SSU rRNA". It matches the Rfam family "Bacterial small subunit ribosomal RNA", at positions 29 to 321 of the family's 1533-position model. The record is from RNAcentral.